GGAAGCCUGACGCAGCGACGCCGCGUGGGGGAUGACGGCCUUCGGGUUGUAAACCUCUUUCGACCUUGACGAAGCCUUUCGGGGUGACGGUAGGGGUAGAAGAAGCACCGGCCAACUACGUGCCAGCAGCCGCGGUAAUACGUAGGGUGCGAGCGUUGUCCGGAAUUAUUGGGCGUAAAGAGCUCGUAGGCGGUCUGUCGCGUCGGUCGUGAAAACUUGGGGCUUAACCCUGAGCUUGCGGUCGAUACGGGCAUGACUGGAGUUCGGCAGGGGAGACUGGAAUUCCUGGUGUAGCGGUGAAAUGCGCAGAUAUCAGGAGGAACACCGGUGGCGAAGGCGGGUCUCUGGGCCGAUACUGACGCUGAGGAGCGAAAGCGUGGGGAGCGAACAGGAUUAGAUACCCUGGUAGUCCACGCCGUAAACAGUGGGCGCUAGGUGUGGGGGCCAUUCCACGGUCUCUGUGCCGCAGCUAACGCAUUAAGCGCCCCG
This 489-nucleotide ribosomal RNA is filed under the name uncultured Pseudonocardia sp. Its description in RNAcentral is "bacterial SSU rRNA". It matches the Rfam family "Bacterial small subunit ribosomal RNA", at positions 377 to 871 of the family's 1533-position model. The record is from RNAcentral. Lineage: Bacteria; Bacillati; Actinomycetota; Actinomycetes; Pseudonocardiales; Pseudonocardiaceae.